This 1162-nucleotide ribosomal RNA is filed under the name uncultured Francisella sp. RNAcentral describes it as "bacterial SSU rRNA". It matches the Rfam family "Bacterial small subunit ribosomal RNA", at positions 109 to 1275 of the family's 1533-position model. The record is from RNAcentral. Lineage: Bacteria; Pseudomonadati; Pseudomonadota; Gammaproteobacteria; Thiotrichales; Francisellaceae.
CAGAAUUCGCCCUUGCCCAUUUGAGGGGGAUACCAGUUGGAAACGACUGUUAAUACCGCAUAAUAUCUGUGGAUUAAAGGUGGCUUUCGGGCUGUCGCAGAUGGAUGAGCCUGCGUUGGAUUAGCUAGUUGGUGGGGUAAGGGCCCACCAAGGCUACGAUCCAUAGCUGAUUUGAGAGGAUGAUCAGCCACAUUGGGACUGAGACACGGCCCAAACUCCUACGGGAGGCAGCAGUGGGGAAUAUUGGACAAUGGGGGCAACCCUGAUCCAGCAAUGCCAUGUGUGUGAAGAAGGCCCUAGGGUUGUAAAGCACUUUAGUUGGGGAGGAAAGCCUCAAGGUUAAUAGCCUUGGGGAGGACGUUACCCAAAGAAUAAGCACCGGCUAACUCCGUGCCAGCAGCCGCGGUAAUACGGGGGGUGCAAGCGUUAAUCGGAAUUACUGGGCGUAAAGGGUCUGUAGGUGGUUUGUUAAGUCAGAUGUGAAAGCCCAGGGCUCAACCUUGGAACUGCAUUUGAUACUGGCAAACUAGAGUACGGUAGAGGAAUGGGGAAUUUCUGGUGUAGCGGUGAAAUGCGUAGAGAUCAGAAGGAACACCAAUGGCGAAGGCAACAUUCUGGACCGAUACUGACACUGAGGGACGAAAGCGUGGGGAUCAAACAGGAUUAGAUACCCUGGUAGUCCACGCUGUAAACGAUGAGUACUAGCUGUUGGAGUCGGUGUAAAGGCUCUAGUGGCGCAGCUAACGCGAUAAGUACUCCGCCUGGGGACUACGGCCGCAAGGCUAAAACUCAAAGGAAUUGACGGGGACCCGCACAAGCGGUGGAGCAUGUGGUUUAAUUCGAUGCAACGCGAAGAACCUUACCUGGUCUUGACAUCCUGCGAACUUUCUAGAGAUAGAUUGGUGCCUUCGGGAACGCAGUGACAGGUGCUGCACGGCUGUCGUCAGCUCGUGUUGUGAAAUGUUGGGUUAAGUCCCGCAACGAGCGCAACCCCUAUUGAUAGUUACCAUCAUUAAGUUGGGUACUCUAUUGAGACUGCCGCUGACAAGGCGGAGGAAGGUGGGGACGACGUCAAGUCAUCAUGGCCCUUACGACCAGGGCUACACACGUGCUACAAUGGGUAUUACAGAGGGCUGCGAAGGUGCGAGCUGGAGCGAAACUC